UCCUUAGUGGCUCAGACGGUUAAAAAUCUGCCUGCAAUGCAGAAGACCCAGGUUUGAUUCCUGGGUCAGGAA
Bos taurus (domestic cattle) is the source of this 72-nucleotide non-coding RNA. NCBI's taxonomy places the organism in Eukaryota, Metazoa, Chordata, Mammalia, Artiodactyla, Bovidae. The record is from Rfam.